Molecule: ribosomal RNA, 2318 nt
Filed under: Escherichia coli
Lineage: Bacteria; Pseudomonadati; Pseudomonadota; Gammaproteobacteria; Enterobacterales; Enterobacteriaceae
Description: bacterial LSU rRNA
Rfam family: Bacterial large subunit ribosomal RNA
Source: RNAcentral
GCGAUACAGGGUGACAGCCCCGUACACAAAAAUGCACAUGCUGUGAGCUCGAUGAGUAGGGCGGGACACGUGGUAUCCUGUCUGAAUAUGGGGGGACCAUCCUCCAAGGCUAAAUACUCCUGACUGACCGAUAGUGAACCAGUACCGUGAGGGAAAGGCGAAAAGAACCCCGGCGAGGGGAGUGAAAAAGAACCUGAAACCGUGUACGUACAAGCAGUGGGAGCACGCUUAGGCGUGUGACUGCGUACCUUUUGUAUAAUGGGUCAGCGACUUAUAUUCUGUAGCAAGGUUAACCGAAUAGGGGAGCCGAAGGGAAACCGAGUCUUAACUGGGCGUUAAGUUGCAGGGUAUAGACCCGAAACCCGGUGAUCUAGCCAUGGGCAGGUUGAAGGUUGGGUAACACUAACUGGAGGACCGAACCGACUAAUGUUGAAAAAUUAGCGGAUGACUUGUGGCUGGGGGUGAAAGGCCAAUCAAACCGGGAGAUAGCUGGUUCUCCCCGAAAGCUAUUUAGGUAGCGCCUCGUGAAUUCAUCUCCGGGGGUAGAGCACUGUUUCGGCAAGGGGGUCAUCCCGACUUACCAACCCGAUGCAAACUGCGAAUACCGGAGAAUGUUAUCACGGGAGACACACGGCGGGUGCUAACGUCCGUCGUGAAGAGGGAAACAACCCAGACCGCCAGCUAAGGUCCCAAAGUCAUGGUUAAGUGGGAAACGAUGUGGGAAGGCCCAGACAGCCAGGAUGUUGGCUUAGAAGCAGCCAUCAUUUAAAGAAAGCGUAAUAGCUCACUGGUCGAGUCGGCCUGCGCGGAAGAUGUAACGGGGCUAAACCAUGCACCGAAGCUGCGGCAGCGACACUAUGUGUUGUUGGGUAGGGGAGCGUUCUGUAAGCCUGUGAAGGUGUACUGUGAGGUAUGCUGGAGGUAUCAGAAGUGCGAAUGCUGACAUAAGUAACGAUAAAGCGGGUGAAAAGCCCGCUCGCCGGAAGACCAAGGGUUCCUGUCCAACGUUAAUCGGGGCAGGGUGAGUCGACCCCUAAGGCGAGGCCGAAAGGCGUAGUCGAUGGGAAACAGGUUAAUAUUCCUGUACUUGGUGUUACUGCGAAGGGGGGACGGAGAAGGCUAUGUUGGCCGGGCGACGGUUGUCCCGGUUUAAGCGUGUAGGCUGGUUUUCCAGGCAAAUCCGGAAAAUCAAGGCUGAGGCGUGAUGACGAGGCACUACGGUGCUGAAGCAACAAAUGCCCUGCUUCCAGGAAAAGCCUCUAAGCAUCAGGUAACAUCAAAUCGUACCCCAAACCGACACAGGUGGUCAGGUAGAGAAUACCAAGGCGCUUGAGAGAACUCGGGUGAAGGAACUAGGCAAAAUGGUGCCGUAACUUCGGGAGAAGGCACGCUGAUAUGUAGGUGAAGUCCCUCGCGGAUGGAGCUGAAAUCAGUCGAAGAUACCAGCUGGCUGCAACUGUUUAUUAAAAACACAGCACUGUGCAAACACGAAAGUGGACGUAUACGGUGUGACGCCUGCCCGGUGCCGGAAGGUUAAUUGAUGGGGUCAGCGCAAGCGAAGCUCUUGAUCGAAGCCCCGGUAAACGGCGGCCGUAACUAUAACGGUCCUAAGGUAGCGAAAUUCCUUGUCGGGUAAGUUCCGACCUGCACGAAUGGCGUAAUGAUGGCCAGGCUGUCUCCACCCGAGACUCAGUGAAAUUGAACUCGCUGUGAAGAUGCAGUGUACCCGCGGCAAGACGGAAAGACCCCGUGAACCUUUACUAUAGCUUGACACUGAACAUUGAGCCUUGAUGUGUAGGAUAGGUGGGAGGCUUUGAAGUGUGGACGCCAGUCUGCAUGGAGCCGACCUUGAAAUACCACCCUUUAAUGUUUGAUGUUCUAACGUUGACCCGUGAUCCGGGUUGCGGACAGUGUCUGGUGGGUAGUUUGACUGGGGCGGUCUCCUCCUAAAGAGUAACGGAGGAGCACGAAGGUUGGCUAAUCCUGGUCGGACAUCAGGAGGUUAGUGCAAUGGCAUAAGCCAGCUUGACUGCGAGCGUGACGGCGCGAGCAGGUGCGAAAGCAGGUCAUAGUGAUCCGGUGGUUCUGAAUGGAAGGGCCAUCGCUCAACGGAUAAAAGGUACUCCGGGGAUAACAGGCUGAUACCGCCCAAGAGUUCAUAUCGACGGCGGUGUUUGGCACCUCGAUGUCGGCUCAUCACAUCCUGGGGCUGAAGUAGGUCCCAAGGGUAUGGCUGUUCGCCAUUUAAAGUGGUACGCGAGCUGGGUUUAGAACGUCGUGAGACAGUUCGGUCCCUAUCUGCCGUGGGCGCUGGAGAA